GAAAACAAACAGGCAGAAUUUUUUUUUUUAAUUUUUAUUCUGGACCACUUUUAGUUUUAUAGUUUUAUUUUAUAGAAUAAUGUAGAUUGAUACAGGAUAACUUAUUAAUAAAUAAUAUCUUGAGUGUAAAUCAGAUGAAAUAGUAAAGAAUACGCGAAAAUAUCUGUGGCAUUUGCAUUUUUACAACAGCUGGUUUAUGAGGUUCGCAGCAUCUUAUUCGAUUAUCUGUACAAGAUGCUUGUCUGCCUUCUAUUUCAGUGUAUUGUUCCGUGAACAUUCGCAAACUUCUUGGACAUAAUUGUGGCAGAAGACACAAACAUGUUGGAUUUUUAUCUUUCGGAGCACGUUACUCCUGAACCAAAAUGUCACUCUCGUCACCAGGAUCCAGAAUCAGUUCUUGGAAUGGCAUUUAAUAGAAAAAGGAUACUGAACCAAGCUGUAAAUAUUACGAUGGAAACGUAUAACAUGAAUGACGUUCAAAAAUGACGGAAUGCUUGAAGAAAAGUUUUCUGGAAAUGUGGCAUAUAAAUAAUGAUUUCAAUGGAAGUUUAGCCUUGUGGUAUGCCGACUCGAGACUGGAAACGUGCGAUCAAUGUGGAAAUGAUAAGGAUGAAGAUUACACUCAUGCCAACUAUAACUCGAUCGUGAAACAACUAAAGCCGAUAAAAUCGUUCCUCUCUGUAAAGAUUUGUUUGCUACGGUCGGUGCUAAAGAAAAAUCAGUCGCUGAUAAACAAGAACUGCCUUUUUGAAAGCAUUAAAAGAUGCUGUAGUUACAUAAACGUAGAAUUCGUGAUCUGAAGCUAUAGGCCAUUUUCAUCGAGAGACUGAUUAUCAAUGAUGGUGAACAUCGUCUUUUCUGCUCCUAGUCUGAUUCUGAACUGUUCAGUACAGCUACCAAAUACCGUGAACCGAGCUCGUUCAACGAUGAAAUAAUAGCUGAUGUUUUGCAAAUGCCGUUCAUUUUUUAAGCAUGUGGAUCAGUUUUUGAGAAUUUCUUCAGAAGGUCGUUGAAAUGGAGCAGAUGGUUCGAAGACGAGGUACAAAUUGUUGAACUCGUUGUACCGAAUUUCUAGAUGAUACGAAUACUCUGCUGAAAGUGCUGAAGGUGGAUAUUUUUUGUUGUGAACAUUGCUGGUGACAAUGGUCUGUUAUAUCAUAUGGUUCAAUAGUGAGAGCUUUAUCGGAACAUUUUGUCAAAUCGUUCCAGCCUUUAAACACAAUUUUCCAACACCUCACGAUAUCAUGGUUUCUAAAAAUGCCACAUCAGUGUACGUCGCUAGAUUAACACCAAACAGAAUAUGGAAAUUUAAAAUGAGUGGUUUAAAUAUCAAUCCUCAAUCCUCCUGACGCGAUUUCAAAAUCAAACGAUUACGAAUUACCAUACCUUACGCAAGGUAACAAACUUAUCGCGGAUGGUAAAUCAUCGGGGACCCUAGUAAUGGCUAUGAUUAUAACAGUGGCUGUUCUUUGUUUUGGAGCUGUAUUGUUAAUCGCAGCGUUGAUAUAUUCGCGAGCCAGAACGCAUGGUAGGUCUUUAUCUUUAGAAGAUCUUAUGCUAGCUUGAGCCAAGAUACAUUUAUUCGCAAUAAGUGCUUCUACCAAGUUUUAUAUUUAUAGCGGAUUUACGUACCGUGUCCUCAAAGGUUAAGUCGUUGCGUUAUUGUGAUCUUUGUUUGUAAUAUUUUUUUCGUAUAGUUUUUGUGUAUCAUGUAUCUGAUUUUUUUUUUUUUUUUGAUGGUACGAGUAGCUAUGACUCGUUUACUUGAGAAAAAAUAUAUGUUUGAUGUUUUACA
Long non-coding RNA from Planococcus citri (citrus mealybug), 1795 nucleotides. RefSeq lists it as uncharacterized. The transcript has 10 exons. Lineage: Eukaryota; Metazoa; Arthropoda; Insecta; Hemiptera; Pseudococcidae. The record is from RefSeq and is a predicted model, not a curated record.